UGCCAGACUCCUACGGGAGGCAGCAGUGGGGAAUAUUGCACAAUGGGGGGAACCCUGAUGCAGCGACGCCGCGUGAGUGAAGAAGUAUUUCGGUAUGUAAAGCUCUAUCAGCAGGGAAGAAAAUGACGGUACCUGACUAAGAAGCCCCGGCUAACUACGUGCCAGCAGCCGCGGUAAUACGUAGGGGGCAAGCGUUAUCCGGAUUUACUGGGUGUAAAGGGAGCGUAGACGGCGAUGCAAGCCAGAUGUGGAGGCCCGGGGCUCAACCCCGGGACUGCAUUUGGAACUGUAUAGCUAGAGUGUCGGAGAGGCAGGCGGAAUUCCUAGUGUAGCGGUGAAAUGCGUAGAUAUUAGGAGGAACACCAGUGGCGAAGGCGGCCUGCUGGACGAUGACUGACGUUGAGGCUCGAAAGCGUGGGGAGCAAACAGGAUUAGAUACCCCAGUA
This 446-nucleotide ribosomal RNA is filed under the name uncultured bacterium. RNAcentral's name for it is "bacterial SSU rRNA". It matches the Rfam family "Bacterial small subunit ribosomal RNA", at positions 329 to 792 of the family's 1533-position model. The record is from RNAcentral.